This 254-nucleotide ribosomal RNA is filed under the name uncultured bacterium. RNAcentral describes it as "partial 16S ribosomal RNA". It matches the Rfam family "Bacterial small subunit ribosomal RNA", at positions 524 to 776 of the family's 1533-position model. The record is from RNAcentral.
UACGUAGGGGGCAAGCGUUGUCCGGAUUUAUUGGGCGUAAAGAGCGUGUAGGCGGCCAUACAGGUCAGCUGUGAAAACUCGAGGCUCAACCUCGAGACGUCGGUUGAAACCGUAUGGCUAGAGUCCGGAAGAGGAGAGUGGAAAUUCCCGGUGUAGCGGUGAAAUGCGCAGAUAUCGGGAAGAACACCCGUGGCGAAGGCGGCUCUCUGGGACGGUACUGACGCUGAGACGCGAAAGCGUGGGGAGCGAACAGG